GUAUCGGGUUCCCAAUUACAAACCUCUCUGGUUACCUGUCCAUGUUGCUUUCACAAGUCAGGAAACAUUACUGUUUGUUAAUGGCAGUGUGGUUAUUCGUACUGCUUGCAUUUUUAGUACUGUACAGGCACUUGUGAAAGAUCUCAAUCAACCCUUUAAUUAUGUGGUCUGACCUGGUUACAUACCAGAUUUCUUAAGUGAAAACUUUCAACAACGGAUCUCUUGGCUCUCGCAUCGAUGAAGAACGCAGCGAAAUGCGAUAAGUAAUGUGAAUUGCAGAAUUCAGUGAAUCAUCGAAUCUUUGAACGCACAUUGCGCCCUUUGGCAUUCCUUAGGGCAUGCCUGCUCGAGCGUCACAGAAAACCCCAUCACAGAUACUGUGGUCUUGGUAUGAGUGGGUUGAUAGUAUGUGGAGACAUGCUUAUAACACUCACUCUACUGAAAUUUAUAGACAGGAUACCAGAUAUGGGCAAUAGACUUUGUAAAUAUCCGCAGGAUAUAUCAGUCAUGUGUUAUGUUUGGUCCUGAAAUUAUAGACUCGGACUCCUAUUCUAUAAAAAUAUUGGGUUGACCUCGAAUCAGGUAGGGAUACCCGCUGAACUUAAGCAUAUCAAUAA
This 617-nucleotide small RNA is filed under the name Tuber sp. 5 KA-2010. Its description in RNAcentral is "eukaryotic LSU rRNA". The stretch from base 203 to 356 matches the Rfam family "5.8S ribosomal RNA". Lineage: Eukaryota; Fungi; Ascomycota; Pezizomycetes; Pezizales; Tuberaceae. The record is from RNAcentral.